Molecule: long non-coding RNA, 2366 nt
Organism: Cydia splendana
Lineage: Eukaryota; Metazoa; Arthropoda; Insecta; Lepidoptera; Tortricidae
Exons: 2
Source: RefSeq, a predicted model, not a curated record
ACCCCGAAAUCGCGAAAAAAAAAUUUGGCUGUUUCAUACAUUUUGUCUAGUCCAUUUUCUAUGGGAGGGUAAUUUUUUUUCCAGCAACCAUUUUCUUGCCAGCAGCGGAAAAGCACUUAUUUUAUGGCCACCCUGUAUAAUGACAAUAAAUUCGAGAGUACCUGCAAGUAACAACUACUGAACUCUCUGAAGUUCGAUUUUAUGUCUAAAACAGAAGUAUCUCCGUUUUUAGGGUUCCGUACCCAAAGGGUAAAACGGGACCCUAUUACUAAGACUCCGCUGUCCGUCCGUCCGUCCGUCCGUCAAUCACCAGGCUGUAUCUCACGAAUCGAGAUAGCUAGACAGUUGAAAUUUUCACAGAUGAUGUAUUUCUGUUGCCGCUAUAACAACAAAUACUAAAACAGAAUAAAAUAAAGAUUUAAGUGGGGCUCCCAUACUGUUGUAAACGUGAUUUUUGAUAGAAGUUAAGCAACGUCGGGCUCGGGCGGGGUCAGUACUUGGAUGGGUGACCGUUUUUAUAGAUAAUGGUACGGAACCCUUCGUGUGCGAGUCCGACUCGCACUUGGCCGGUUUUUAUUUAGAACGCAGUUGAUUUAUAAGGUUUACUUGAUCCUUGUGGGAAGCAAAUGAAGCUUUAUUUGUAAGUAUGUAUGUAAAAUAAAAUAAUAUUAAUAAUCUAUCAACCGCAUCUAGAUCGAUAGUGCUCGUCAAGGAAAAUCUAUUGAGCCCAAACACGAUGGAGUUAUGAUGAGUAGAUUAGGAUAGAUUAGGAUUUCUGGUGACCAACUCCUGACUCCAUCAUGAGAACCUGGACUUCAUCUAGAUCAAUGGUGCUCGUCGGGGCAAAUCUAUUGAGCCCAAACACGAUGGAGUUAUGAUGAGUAGAUUAGAACAUCUGGUGACCAUCUCAUGAUGGAGUCAGGAGCUGGUCACCAGAAGGGUCUCAUGACCCUGGACCUCAUCUAGAUAGAUGGUGCUCGUCGAGGCAAAUCGAUUGAGCCCAAACACGAUGGAGUGAUAAUGAGUAGAUUAGGAGUUCUGGUGACCAACUCCUGACUCCAUCAUGAGAACCUGGACCUCAUCUAGAUCGAUGGUGUUCGUCAAGGAAAAUCUAUUGAGCCCAAACAGGAUGGAGUUAUGAUGAGUAGAUUAGGAGUUCGGUGACCAUUACUGACUCCAUCAUGAGAACCUGGACUUCAUCUAGAUCGAUGGUGCUCGUCGGGGCAAAUCUAUUGAGCCCAAACACGAUGGAGUUAUUAUGAGUAGAUUAGAACAUCUGGUGACCAUCUCAUGAUGGAGUCAGGAGUUGGUCACCAGAAGGGUCUCAUGACCCUGGACCUCAUCUAGAUAGAUGGUGCUCGUCGAGGCAAAUCGAUUGAGCCCAAACACGAUGGACUUAUGAUGAGUAAAUUAGGACUUCUGGUGACCAUCUCAUGAUGGAGUCAGAAGUUGGUCACCAGAAGGGUCUCAUGACCCUGGACCUUAUCUAGAUAGAUGGUGCUCGUCAGGGCAAAUCAUUUGAACCCAAACACGAUGGAGUGUUAAUGAGUAGAUUAGGAGUUCUGGUGACCAACUCCUGACUCCAUCAUGAGAACCUGGACCUCAUCUAGAUCGAUGGUGUUCGUCAAGGAAAAUCUAUUGAGCCCAAACACGAUGGAGUUAUGAUGAGUAGAUUAGGAGUUCGGUGACCAUUCCUGACUCCAUCAUGAGAACCUGGACAUCAUCCAGGUCGUCCGGGUAUAAUAAAAAUGCAAACCCUAACCAGAAUUCAAGUAACACUGAAAAUCUAUCACAUAAGCGAGAGUCGGUUGUUAAAAUUAAAUAUGGUGUAAAAAAUGUACACCCUUGGAUCAAGAUUUUCUAAUCAUAGUAUACAGCACUUCUCGGAACUCUCUCGAUGGUUACGAAAGCAACGAACGCCUGACGGUCGAGCACAGGUCCGUCCCCUAAGCGCACUCGGCGGAGACUGAGCGCGCGGUGUCGGUGCAGCGUGAUUUAUACGUCUUUAAAAAAAUAUAGAUUUACGGCUAGGUAGGUCCUAUAGUUAUGAUUUUUUUUUUAUGAGUAGACAUAAAGUUACAAUUUGUUAAAAUAUUAUUUUUGGGGCAAAAUAUAAGUCCAAUUUGCGAUAAAAAAAUGUAAUGUAACCCUGUUUUCACCAAAAAAAUGAAGAAAACUCGGAAGGUUUUUUAUCAAUUUUUUAAAAUGAAUCUUCGAUUUUCAAGCAUGUCAGCCCCUCGUACAAGAUAUGGUGAGUUGAAUUGUAAUCAUUCAUGUACCAAAUGAUUCUUGUUUACUGCAAAAUUGAGAACCGAAACGACCCUUCUCACUGCAAAAUUUGAAAAAGACUCCUAAGAAAACUCAUU